AAUAGAUACCCUGGUAGUCCAUGCCGUAAACGUUGGGCACUAGGUGUGGGGCUCAUUCCACGAGUUCUGUGCCGCAGCAAACGCAUUAAGUGCCCCGCCUGGGGAGUACGGCCGCAAGGCUAAAACUCAAAGAAAUUGACGGGGGCCCGCACAAGCGGCGGAGCAUGCGGAUUAAUUCGAUGCAACGUGAAGCACCUUACCCAGGGUUGACAUGCAGCUGCAUUCCGGUGAAAGCCGGUGGCCUUCGAGGGUGCUGCACAGGUGCUGCAUGGUUGUCGUCAGCUCGUGUCGUGAGAUGUUGGGUUAAGUCCCGCAACGAGCGCAACCCCUAUCGUCAGUUAUACGUGUCUGACGAGACUGCCGGCUUUCGGCCGGAGGAAGGCGGGGAUGACGUCAAAUCCGCAUGGCCCUUACCCCUGGGGCGACACACACGGCUACAAUGGCCAGGACCAGCGCGUCGCGAGCCGGUAACGGUCAGCUAAUCGCCCAAACCUGGUCCCAGUGCAGAUCGGGG
RNAcentral lists this ribosomal RNA (514 nucleotides) under uncultured bacterium. RNAcentral describes it as "bacterial SSU rRNA". It matches the Rfam family "Bacterial small subunit ribosomal RNA", at positions 777 to 1303 of the family's 1533-position model. The record is from RNAcentral.